Molecule: non-coding RNA, 957 nt
Filed under: Pan troglodytes (chimpanzee)
Lineage: Eukaryota; Metazoa; Chordata; Mammalia; Primates; Hominidae
Source: RNAcentral
UGCAGACAACACAGCCAGAGGGGCCUCCAUGAAAUCCAACCCGGGGUUCCCCAUCCUGCGGUCACAAAAGUCCUGGCAUGUCCUUGGGGACUAUCCUAGGUCAGAAUUGCUCAGGGAAGUGAAGGCUCUGGGAUGCAGAACAGAGAAUGCUUUGCUUCUAGAGCAAGCCUCCCCUCCCCAGACGAGCUCCAUGGCUGGAGAAUGCACAGGAGGCGUGACCAUUCAUGGGGCUGUCCCUGAUUGGAGUGGAGGUAGACAUACAGCAUGGCGCCGUCUGGCCCUGCCAGUCACCUGCCGAAGACGGGAGGUUUCUCCCGGAGGGACUAUGACAGUCCCCACCUCUACACGAUGGCCCACCCCCCACAGGAGCAUCAAGGCAGACAGACUCUGGAAGUUGUAAGGAUGAGGACAGUUAGAGACGACAGCAGGUACCUUUUCUGUAGAGUGUAAAUGCCAAGAUGGUGCCGCCCAGAGAUGAACUAGCCAAGAAUACCUAUUUAUGUUGCAGUAUCGCCAAAGAAAAUAAUCACUACUGUGGAACAUGAAGGAUAUAUUUUAAGGCUUUCUCCACAUUAGACUUUCUAGGUUCAUUUUCCCACCCUUCUGAAAUCUGACUCGAUUUUCCAGUUGACCACAGUCUGAAGAGAGCCAGUUGGCGUGAGGUUCUGUGACCUACACAGAUGGUGGGAGGAGUCAGACGGGAAAUCUCUUAUGUCGACGUGGUCACCACCACUUGCUUCUUGAGGGAGAAGAAUCGGAAAGACCUGGCAAGACAGACUAGCUAGAAGGGCUUUCUGAUUCCAGAACAAUACUAAGUUUCCUGAAGUAAAGUAUUAAAUAAAUAUAAAUAAAUGGUAAGACGUAUAUAAAUGUGGUAUGAAGAGGAAGAAAAUAAUGGAAUGGAGGGAAAUAGACACAAAUAGAAAUUCUAAGGUAUUUCUAAUCUGGGAUAGAACA